UUUCUGACAUGGGAAGAUCUCCAAGAUAAGAUAUUAAAUUUAAAACGCAUAAUUUGUGGUAGUGGGGGACUGUGUUCACACUUUCUCCUG
RNAcentral lists this small nuclear RNA (90 nucleotides) under Otolemur garnettii (small-eared galago). RNAcentral's name for it is "U1 spliceosomal RNA (ENSOGAG00000023929.1)". Lineage: Eukaryota; Metazoa; Chordata; Mammalia; Primates; Galagidae. The record is from RNAcentral.